ACGCUGGCGGCGCGCCUAACACAUGCAAGUCGAACGGAGCUGAGAGGAGCUUGUCUUUUCUUAGCUUAGUGGCGAACGGGUGAGUAACGCGUGAGUAACCUGCCCUGGAGUGGGGGACAACAGUUGGAAACGACUGCUAAUACCGCAUAAAGUAUUCGGAUGGCAUCAUCUGAAUACCAAAGAUUUAUCGCUGAAGGAUGGGCUCACGUCUGAUUAGCUAGUUGGUAGGGCAACGGCCUACCAAGGCUUCGAUCAGUAGCCGGACUGAGAGGUUGGCCGGCCACAUUGGGACUGAGAUACGGCCCAGACUCCUACGGGAGGCAGCAGUGGGGAAUAUUGGGCAAUGGAGGAAACUCUGACCCAGCGACGCCGCGUGCGGGAUGAAGGCCUUCGGGUUGUAAACCGCUUUCAGUAGGGAAGAAGCGAAAGUGACGGUACCUACAGAAGAAGCACCGGCUAACUAUGUG
This 467-nucleotide ribosomal RNA is filed under the name uncultured bacterium. Its description in RNAcentral is "bacterial SSU rRNA". It matches the Rfam family "Bacterial small subunit ribosomal RNA", at positions 33 to 507 of the family's 1533-position model. The record is from RNAcentral.